UGUAGUUUUUAUUAAAGUGUUUUGAAAACACUUCUAAAGAAAAAUUUUCUUAAAAG
This 56-nucleotide transfer RNA is filed under the name Tetragnatha maxillosa. Its description in RNAcentral is "tRNA-Ser". The record is from RNAcentral. Lineage: Eukaryota; Metazoa; Arthropoda; Arachnida; Araneae; Tetragnathidae.